This is a long non-coding RNA of Leucoraja erinaceus (little skate), 600 nucleotides long. RefSeq lists it as uncharacterized. The transcript is spliced from 3 exons. The record is from RefSeq and is a predicted model, not a curated record. Lineage: Eukaryota; Metazoa; Chordata; Chondrichthyes; Rajiformes; Rajidae.
ACUUUCUGUUUACAGGUAUUAAUGCCACCUGCUGGAUGUUCAGGUUCCUACAGCUUUGAGUUACCUUUCCUGUUAGGCAGGAAGUUGUCAUAAACCAGGAAGCCCAGCCCAGGGAGAGUACUGCAUGGUGUAGACUGUAAUUCCAGUGUGUAAUUUACUGCCAUCCCACUGCACCAGUUUGUUAGACGCAUUGUCUUGCCGGAGACCAGGUUCGAUCCUGACCACGGAUGAAAUGCAGGUCUGUAUACACGCCGCAGCUCGGCUGCUGAGAAUGUUUAUCUCGAGUGACCUAUGACCUGGGCAUGCGCAGUCGGAAUACCGAACUCACUUAUACUCAGCAGAUCAGGCACAAGAGUUUCAAGUGAAUACCCAUGGGUUGAGUUAAGAUUGGUGCAAGGAUUAACCAGCGUGUGAAGCCCUCAGAUUCCGAAGACAAGAUCUUUAAUUUUUUUUUGCUUGUUAAGUGGGAUUGAAAUAAAAUUGUAAUCCUGGCACAGAAUGUCUGUCAGAAUAAUGGCGGGGAUAAUCUGUUUCUUAUGUGCAAAUGCCACUGCAAUUUGUGGUGGGUGUAGAAAUGUGAUUAAAUGUGGAAAUCAAUAA